This 1152-nucleotide long non-coding RNA is filed under the name Androctonus crassicauda. Lineage: Eukaryota; Metazoa; Arthropoda; Arachnida; Scorpiones; Buthidae. The record is from RNAcentral.
GAUAGUGAUUAUUUUAUGUUUGCCUCGCUGAUCUGAGGUUAUCAUUCCUUUAGUAUGAAAUGUUUGCUUCUUGAUUAUAAUUGUGAUGGGCCUAUCUGUUAUCGUAGAUUUAAAAAAAAUUUGCAGACUAUAUUUAAUUCUUUUAAUUGUAAAGUAAAAUGCAUGGUUAUUUGUUCGAUUACUCUGUACUCGUUUAUAUUGAUAUUUUGGAUUAAUCACCUCCAUACUUUUCAAAAGAAAAUCACGUUGCCUUUGUAAAUCAGAUAAAUUCCAAUAAUCUUAAAAAAUUGCUUUUCGGUCUUCUGAGAUUUUGGCAUUGCAGUGCAGCUUGCAUUUUGUGCCACACGGCGGUCCCAAAGUUUUGGCUUUGAAGAUUUUUUUACUUUUAGAACUGGAGGUAUACUCCAAGCCGGAAUUCCUACAUCGUUUCGCAACAGUUUUUUUCCAUGCUUCGGGAUUUGCCUUUCUCUUCUUGCCUUUUUUAGCUAAUUUUUUUUUUUUUUGGCUUCUUCUAUUUCAUUUGGUAGGACACGUUGUUCUACCAAGGAAUCAUCUGCAGACUGUUCCUGUUCAGGAUCACAACUCGAACUACUUGAAGAUGAUGUAGAGCCAGAGCUGUAAUUCGGGUCUGCAUCCGAAUCAUCACAUUGUGAAUAGCUAUCACUGUCUGAUAAUUUUAGUACAGAAGUAUUGCGUAAGAUACUGAAAGAAAAAAAUAUUUAUUAAUUAAUCGAUUGUUAUAACAAAUUGUAUUGUAAGUAUCACUAACCUUUUCCAUUAGUUGUUUGCUUUUGAAAUUCAGAGUUGUUACUUGAGGAAGUACAAGUCUCAGAAGUGGAAACAGAUGGAGCAUCUGAAAUUGUUACAGAAGUCUCAAUAUUACUUGUAGCAAGAUUUGUAUUCCCAUGGUCCAUCCCAUUGUUUCCUUUAUUUAUUGCCACCCAUUGAGUAUUUGCUGCUUUUUGACUGGCACCAUUUUCAUUGAUAUUUUUUCUUGACAACGUCAGUAAUAGUUUAGUCUGUUUGUUAAAUGGUGCUAAUUGUUUAUUCUCCAUUGUACCUAUUCAGAAGAUAUGAUUUUUUAAUCAAAGUUAUAAUAUCAACAAAAAAACACGUACGACUUUCUCAGCAAAUGUGACAGAAUUGUAAAUG